CCUACGGGGGGCAGCAGUAGGGAAUCUUUCACAAUGGGCGAAAGCCUGAUGGAGCAACGCCGCGUGCAGGAUGAAGGCCUUCGGGUUGUAAACUGCUUUUAUAAGCGAGAAAUAUGAUGGUAACUUAUGAAUAAGGAUCGGCUAACUACGUGCCAGCAGCCGGGGUCAUACGUAGGAUCCGAGCAUUAUCCGGAGUGACUGGGUGUAAAGAGUUGCGUAGGUGGCAUAAUAAGUAGCUAGUGAAAUCUGGUGGCUCAACCAUUCAGACUAUUAGCUAAACUGUUAAGCUCGAGACCGUGAGGGGUAACUGGAAUUUCUAGUGUAGGAGUGAAAUCCGUAGAUAUUAGAAGGAACACCAGUAGCGUAGGCAGGUUGCUGGGACGGUUCUGACACUAAGGCACGAAAGCGUAGGGAGCAAACGGGAUUAGAUACCCUAGUAGUC
Molecule: ribosomal RNA, 442 nt
Filed under: uncultured bacterium
Lineage: Bacteria
Description: partial 16S ribosomal RNA
Rfam family: Bacterial small subunit ribosomal RNA
Source: RNAcentral